Molecule: ribosomal RNA, 253 nt
Filed under: uncultured bacterium
Lineage: Bacteria
Description: partial 16S ribosomal RNA
Rfam family: Bacterial small subunit ribosomal RNA
Source: RNAcentral
GACGGAGGAUGCAAGUGUUAUCCGGAAUCACUGGGCGUAAAGCGUCUGUAGGUGGUUUAAUAAGUCAACUGUUAAAUCUUGAGGCUCAACCUCAAAAUCGCAGUCGAAACUAUUAGGCUAGAGUAUAGUAGGGGUAAAGGGAAUUUCCAGUGGAGCGGUGAAAUGCGUAGAGAUUGGAAAAAACACCGAUGGCGAAGGCACUUUACUGGGCUAUUACUAACACUCAGAGACGAAAGCUAGGGUAGCAAAUGGG